UAACGACUCUCGGCAACGGAUAUCUCGGCUCUCGCAUCGAUGAAGAACGUAGCGAACUGCGAUACUUGGUGUGAAUUGCAGAAUCCCGUGAACCAUCGAGUCUUUGAACGCAAGUUGCGCCCGAAGCCGUCUGGCCGAGGGCACGUUUGCCUGGGUGUCA
This 160-nucleotide ribosomal RNA is filed under the name Aggreflorum brachyandrum. RNAcentral's name for it is "Leptospermum brachyandrum 5.8S ribosomal RNA". It matches the Rfam family "5.8S ribosomal RNA". Rfam says of the family: 5.8S ribosomal RNA (5.8S rRNA) is a component of the large subunit of the eukaryotic ribosome. Lineage: Eukaryota; Viridiplantae; Streptophyta; Magnoliopsida; Myrtales; Myrtaceae. RNAcentral also lists the same sequence under 1 other name. The record is from RNAcentral.